GACGAACGCUGGCGGCGUGCCUAACACAUGCAAGUCGAACGAAGCUCUGCGAUACAAGACUUCGGUCAAGUUGAACGGAUGACUUAGUGGCGGACGGGUGAGUAACGCGUGAGGAACCUGCCUUUCAGUGGGGGACAACAGUUGGAAACGACUGCUAAUACCGCAUAAUGUAUUCUGACCGCAUGAUCGGAAUACCAAAGAUUUAUUGCUGAAAGAUGGCCUCGCGUCUGAUUAGAUAGUUGGUGAGGUAACGGCCCACCAAGUCGACGAUCAGUAGCCGGACUGAGAGGUUGAACGGCCACAUUGGGACUGAGACACGGCCCAGACUCCUACGGGAGGCAGCAGUGGGGAAUAUUGCACAAUGGGCGAAAGCCUGAUGCAGCAACGCCGCGUGAGGGAAGACGGUUUUCGGAUUGUAAACCUCUGUUUUCGGUGACGAACAAAUGACGGUAACCGAGUAGGAAGCCACGGCUAACUACGUGCCAGCAGCCGCGGU
RNAcentral lists this ribosomal RNA (496 nucleotides) under uncultured bacterium. RNAcentral describes it as "bacterial SSU rRNA". It matches the Rfam family "Bacterial small subunit ribosomal RNA", at positions 28 to 521 of the family's 1533-position model. The record is from RNAcentral.